GCAUUCUUGUGCUGUAGUUUCAAAGCCACAUAGAGAAGAGAGAUCAUUAAUUUCAAUGAUAGAUCCUAAAGAAAUAAAUCAUAAAGGGAUGAUGACCAGCAGCAGAUUCUAGAAUGGGAAUACCUUGUAAAUUUUACUCACAAUCAAAUAUGACUUGAAGCAGAAAGCCUUCCUGAGCUCCUCUGUCGGCUUCAACAAUGAAACAUGAAAAUUUAGUAAGCAGAUGAAUUUGAAUCCUGCAGGGUUAAGAAAGAGAUAUACUUGUUAUUCUCACCCAUUCCACACAACAUUCUCAUCUAACCUCAUCUUCUGUAGCCCAUAAAACUUCAUCGAAAAGAGCAUUAUAAAGAGGUGGCAAAAGUUGGAGAGGAAGAUUGGCGACACGCUGAGAGACCAAGAUACCUACAUCAUGUGCUUGCUCUGCCCAAAGUAAUCUCAAAUCAUCUAUUACAUUUCUGUCAAGACAAACUUUGAAGAGAAACUCCUUGAUCUCCAUGAUACAU
This 503-nucleotide unclassified non-coding RNA is filed under the name Hevea brasiliensis (rubber tree). Lineage: Eukaryota; Viridiplantae; Streptophyta; Magnoliopsida; Malpighiales; Euphorbiaceae. The record is from RNAcentral.